RNAcentral lists this unclassified non-coding RNA (406 nucleotides) under soil metagenome. RNAcentral describes it as "partial contains 5.8S ribosomal RNA, internal transcribed spacer 2, and large subunit ribosomal RNA". The stretch from base 1 to 121 matches the Rfam family "5.8S ribosomal RNA", at positions 35 to 154 of the family's 154-position model. The record is from RNAcentral.
GAUGAAGAACGUAGCGAAAUGCGAUAAGUAAUGUGAAUUGCAGAAUUCAGUGAAUCAUCGAAUCUUUGAACGCACCUUGCGCCCUUUGGCCAUUCCGAAGGGCAUGCCUGUUUGAGUAUCAUGAACACCUCAACUCUUCAUGGUUUUCCAUGAUGAGCUUGGACUUUGGGGGUCUUGCUGGCCUGUGGGUCGGCUCCUCUCAAAUGAAUCAGCUUGCCGGUUUUUGGUGGGCAUCACAGGUGUGAUAACUAUCUACGCUUGUGGUUUUCCACCAGGGUAACCUUCAGCAGUGGAGGUUCACUAGAGCUUACAAAUGUCUCUCCUCUGUGAGGACAGCCCUUUGAAUGUUUGAUCUCAAAUCAGGUAGGACUACCCGCUGAACUUAAGCAUAUCAAUAAGCGGAGGA